This is a long non-coding RNA of Lagenorhynchus albirostris (white-beaked dolphin), 985 nucleotides long. RefSeq lists it as uncharacterized. Lineage: Eukaryota; Metazoa; Chordata; Mammalia; Artiodactyla; Delphinidae. The transcript is spliced from 5 exons. The record is from RefSeq and is a predicted model, not a curated record.
CACCACCUGGGGCACUGUGACCUGCUCUGCCCAUCGCUCUGGAGGACCAACCAGAACCCCCAGGUCGGGCACCUGGGGGUCGUCAGGAACAGGAGCAGGGUCUGAGAUCUGGCUCUCUGUAGACAUGUGCUGAUGGGCAGACUUUGGAAGCCGUCCUUGGACAUCCAGAUUUGACCUCUGGGAUAGCAUUGAAUGGUCUAUUGGAAGAGUGGAAGCCAUGUUGCAGGGGCUCAGCUGUUGACAGAGGAGGACGUGGAAAGAUGGCUAAGAAGGAAGUCUGUUUCAAAACCCAGGAUUUUUCAAACAAGAAAAAAAGAAAAGAUACAGGCUGCAGAUUAAAUGAAGAGCAAAGGAACUUAAAAACGUUUGCAGGAGACCGCCAAGUGAAAAAUGAAACACAUGCUCUAACAGAGAUGCUGCUGGACACACUGGAGAAGAAUGAACUGCAGCCAGGUGGAGGGGUUUGAGGUGGCUGUAUUUCACCUGAACCUACAGAGUAGCCUCUGGCCCAGAGAAUUCCAGAGCGUGGUGAGAAGGCAGCCUGAUGGCAGCUGAUCUGAAAGUUGCCUCGAGAAGAAAACAGCAGGAUCGGGCAGUGUUCUCCAAGGCAUGAGUCAGGGAACAACGCCAUGGAAAACAAACUGCAGAUGCUUUCAGACAAAAGUGUGUCCGCUCCACUCACGCUCACCAUCCGAGGAGAAUUAUAAUGAAAAUGGAUCUGAUACACUACUCAUCUUUCACGCAGAAGCGUAGCGUGUACACAAGAAACCAUACUGAUUGUAACUAUCAAAGAUGAGCUUGCAUAUAAGAAACAGAAAGGCAUCAAGAAAGAUGUCUGCCCAUGACAUUCAGGACUUUGCAUGUGAACAGUAAGGGUUCUCAUUUUGUCAGGCCGGUCCUACAGGCUCUUCUGAGACUUUCUAGUUUAUGGACGCCAAGAUGGAGGGGAAUGGGGGUGCCUUUCUUCUUAAAUAAUAAAAUAUUC